This 300-nucleotide ribosomal RNA is filed under the name uncultured Alteromonadales bacterium. Its description in RNAcentral is "bacterial SSU rRNA". It matches the Rfam family "Bacterial small subunit ribosomal RNA", at positions 115 to 420 of the family's 1533-position model. Lineage: Bacteria; Pseudomonadati; Pseudomonadota; Gammaproteobacteria; Alteromonadales. The record is from RNAcentral.
GCGUAGGAAUCUACCCAGUAGUAGGGGACAACUUGGGGAAACCCAAGCUAAUACCGCAUACGCCCUACGGGGAAAGCGGGGACCUUCGGGCCUCGUGCUAUUGGAUGAGCCUGCGUUGGAUUAGCUAGUUGGUGAGGUAAAGGCUCACCAAGGCGACGAUCCAUAGCUGGUCUGAGAGGAUGAUCAGCCACACUGGGACUGAGACACGGCCCAGACUCCUACGGGAGGCAGCAGUGGGGAAUAUUGCGCAAUGGGCGAAAGCCUGACGCAGCCAUGCCGCGUGUGUGAAGAAGGCCUUAG